Molecule: long non-coding RNA, 332 nt
Organism: Pocillopora damicornis (cauliflower coral)
Lineage: Eukaryota; Metazoa; Cnidaria; Anthozoa; Scleractinia; Pocilloporidae
Source: RefSeq, a predicted model, not a curated record
AUGAUAGAAGAGACCCGGAUGGUACUGAAAUUCAGUGCUUUGUCGCUAAGAGUUUGGAUCAAGUUGUCGGCGUUGCCCUCCUUAGACGAGAAGAGGAUAUAGAAUAUAUCCGCUCUCAUUUCAACAUUGAAGAUUUUAUUUACUUCAAUCAUCAUAAAAGAGAUGAACAUGGCCGUCUGUUCCAUUUUGCUCUCAAUCCUGUAUUUCAGCAAUAUUCCAAACACUUUCUAAAGGAAGUGCUAAGACUGGCCCACAAAUCUUGCCUGUAUUACCCAGUCUGCCCAAGAUACACAGAAACACAACCAAGCACAUAACGUCCGCGGAAAAAUAGC